This 713-nucleotide ribosomal RNA is filed under the name Lactococcus garvieae. Its description in RNAcentral is "bacterial SSU rRNA". It matches the Rfam family "Bacterial small subunit ribosomal RNA", at positions 56 to 750 of the family's 1533-position model. The record is from RNAcentral. Lineage: Bacteria; Bacillati; Bacillota; Bacilli; Lactobacillales; Streptococcaceae.
UGCAAGUCGAGCGAUGAUUGAAGAUAGCUUGCUAUUUUCAUGAAGAGCGGCGAACGGGUGAGUAACGCGUGGGAAAUCUGCCGAGUAGCGGGGGACAACGUUUGGAAACGAACGCUAAUACCGCAUAACAAUGAGAAUCGCAUGAUUCUUAUUUGAAAGAAGCAAUUGCUUCACUACUUGAUGAUCCCGCGUUGUAUUAGCUAGUUGGUAGUGUAAAGGACUACCAAGGCGAUGAUACAUAGCCGACCUGAGAGGGUGAUCGGCCACACUGGGACUGAGACACGGCCCAGACUCCUACGGGAGGCAGCAGUAGGGAAUCUUCGGCAAUGGGGGCAACCCUGACCGAGCAACGCCGCGUGAGUGAAGAAGGUUUUCGGAUCGUAAAACUCUGUUGUUAGAGAAGAACGUUAAGUAGAGUGGAAAAUUACUUAAGUGACGGUAUCUAACCAGAAAGGGACGGCUAACUACGUGCCAGCAGCCGCGGUAAUACGUAGGUCCCAAGCGUUGUCCGGAUUUAUUGGGCGUAAAGCGAGCGCAGGUGGUUUCUUAAGUCUGAUGUAAAAGGCAGUGGCUCAACCAUUGUGUGCAUUGGAAACUGGGAGACUUGAGUGCAGGAGAGGAGAGUGGAAUUCCAUGUGUAGCGGUGAAAUGCGUAGAUAUAUGGAGGAACACCGGAGGCGAAAGCGGCUCUCUGGCCUGUAACUGACACUGAG